AUUGAACGCUAGCGGGAUGCUUUACACAUGCAAGUCGAACGAGUGGCGGACGGGUGAGUAAUAUAUCGGAACGUGGCUAGUCGCGGGGGAUAACUACUCGAAAGCGUGGCUAAUACCGCAUAAUAUUGGAUCGGCCCAUGUUGGAUUAGCUAGUUGGUGGGGUAAAGGCUCACCAAGGCAACGAUCCGUAGCUGGUUUGAGAGGACGACCAGCCACACUGGGACUGAGACACGGCCCAGACUCCUACGGGAGGCAGCAGUGGGGAAUUUUGGGCAAUGGGGGAAACCCUGAGCCAGCCAUGCCGCGUGUAUGAGAAGGCCUUCGGGUUGUAAAGUACUUUUGGCAGAGAAGCGGUAUCUACAGAAUAAGCACCGGCUAACUACGUGCCAGCAGCCGCGGUAAUUC
RNAcentral lists this ribosomal RNA (405 nucleotides) under uncultured bacterium. RNAcentral describes it as "partial 16S ribosomal RNA". It matches the Rfam family "Bacterial small subunit ribosomal RNA", at positions 30 to 526 of the family's 1533-position model. The record is from RNAcentral.